AGUAGCGAAGUUCCUGAUGUCACACUGCCAAGAAAAGCUUCUAGUUAGAAAGUAACUGCCCGUACCGCAAACCGACACAGGUAGUUGAGGAGAGAAUCCUAAGGUGUGCAAGAGAACUCUCGUUAAGGAACUCGGCAAAAUGACCCCGUAACUUCGGGAGAAGGGGUGCUGACCGCAAGGUCAGCCGCAGUGAAUAGGCCCAAGCGACUGUUUAUCAAAAACACAGGUCUCUGCAAAAUCGAAAGAUGACGUAUAGGGGCUGACGCCUGCCCGGUGCUGGAAGGUUAAGAGGAGAGGUUAGCGCAAGCGAAGCUUUGAAUUGAAGCCCCAGUAAACGGCGGCCGUAACUAUAACGGUCCUAAGGUAGCGAAAUUCCUUGUCGGGUAAGUUCCGACCCGCACGAAAGGCGUAACGAUUUGGGCACUGUCUCAACGAGAGACUCGGUGAAAUUAUAGUACCAGUGAAGAUGCUGGUUACCCGCGACAGGACGGAAAGACCCCAUGGAGCUUUACUGCAGUUUGAUAUUGCGUGUUUGUAUCACAUGUACAGGAUAGGUAGGAGCCGAAGAUACCGGGACGCCAGUCUCGGAGGAGGCAACGGUGGGAUACUACCCUUGUGAUAUGACCACUCUAACCCGCUGCUCUUAGCGAGCAGGGAGACAGUGUCAGACGGGCAGUUUGACUGGGGCGGUCGCCUCCAAAAAUGUAACGGAGGCGCCCAAAGGUUCCCUCAGAAUGGUUGGAAAUCAUUCGUAGAGUGUAAAGGCAGAAGGGAGCUUGACUGCGAGACCUACAAGUCGAGCAGGGACGAAAGUCGGGCUUAGUGAUCCGGUGGUUCCGCAUGGAAGGGCCAUCGCUCAACGGAUAAAAGCUACCCUGGGGAUAACAGGCUUAUCUCCCCCAAGAGUUCACAUCGACGGGGAGGUUUGGCACCUCGAUGUCGGCUCAUCGCAUCCUGGGGCUGUAGUCGGUCCCAAGGGUUGGGCUGUUCGCCCAUUAAAGCGGUACGCGAGCUGGGUUCAGAACGUCGUGAGACAGUUCGGUCCCUAUCCGUCGCGGGCGUUGGAAAUUUGAGAGGAGCUGUCCUUAGUACGAGAGGACCGGGAUGGACACACCGCUGGUGUACCAGUUGUUCUGCCAAGAGCAUCGCUGGGUAGCUAUGUGUGGACGGGAUAAACGCUGAAAGCAUCUAAGCGUGAAGCCCCCCUCAAGAUGAGAUUUCCCAUCACUUUAAGUGAGUAAGACCCCUGAGAGAUGAUCAGGUAGAUAGGUUGGGAGUGGAAGUACAGCGAUGUAUGGAGCGGACCAAUACUAAUCGGUCGAGGACUUAACC
Molecule: ribosomal RNA, 1332 nt
Filed under: metagenome
Description: bacterial LSU rRNA
Rfam family: Bacterial large subunit ribosomal RNA
Source: RNAcentral